This 712-nucleotide ribosomal RNA is filed under the name uncultured euryarchaeote. Its description in RNAcentral is "bacterial SSU rRNA". It matches the Rfam family "Archaeal small subunit ribosomal RNA", at positions 126 to 836 of the family's 1478-position model. Lineage: Archaea; Methanobacteriati; Methanobacteriota. The record is from RNAcentral.
CUAACUCCGGGAAACUGGAGAUAAUUCCGGAUAACGCACAUAUGCUGGAAUGCUUUAUGCGUAAAAUGGAUUCGUCUGCCCAAGGAUGGGUCUGCGGCCUAUCAGGUAGUAGUGGGUGUAAUGUACCUACUAGCCAACAACGGGUACGGGUUGUGAGAGCAAGAGCCCGGAGAUGGAUUCUGAGACAUGAAUCCAGGCCCUACGGGGCGCAGCAGGCGCGAAAACUUUACAAUGCGGGAAACCGUGAUAAGGGGACACCGAGUGCCAGCAUCAUAUGCUGGCUGUCCAGGUGUGUAAAAUACACCUGUUAGCAAGGGCCGGGCAAGACCGGUGCCAGCCGUCGCGGUAACACCGGCGGCCCGAGUGGUGAUCGUGAUUAUUGGGUCUAAAGGGUCCGUAGCCGGUUUGGUCAGUCCUCCGGGAAAUCUGAUAGCUCAACUAUUAGGCUUUCGGGGGAUACUGCCAGGCUUGGAACCGGGAGAGGUAAGAGGUACUACAGGGGUAGGAGUGAAAUCUUGUAAUCCCUGUGGGACCACCUGUGGCGAAGGCGUCUUACCAGAACGGGUUCGACGGUGAGGGACGAAAGCUGGGGGCACGAACCGGAUUAGAUACCCGGGUAGUCCCAGCCGUAAACGAUGCUCGCUAGGUGUCAGGCAUGGCGCGACCGUGUCUGGUGCCGCAGGGAAGCCGUGAAGCGAGCCACCUGGGAAGU